AUUCUCAAAGCAGCAUUCAUCGGUGUGGAAGACUUCCCUCGCUCAUCCCUUUCAGAAAAAGCGGAAGACUGCGAUCUCCUUCAAGGUACGACGGCUGCACCGGCCUCAACUUUCACUGCGGGCUCCCCCCUGCUGUCCUGACUCCUGUUGUUGACACAUUUGUGCCAUAAUCAUUUUACACUCAGUCUGUGUACAGAGCCUCCCGGACAGAGCCUGGAAUUCCUACAGCUGGAAAAAAAAACUCCCGAAAUGUUCGCAGUGUGUUGUU
Long non-coding RNA from Anguilla anguilla (European eel), 268 nucleotides. RefSeq lists it as uncharacterized. The transcript has 3 exons. The record is from RefSeq and is a predicted model, not a curated record. Lineage: Eukaryota; Metazoa; Chordata; Actinopteri; Anguilliformes; Anguillidae.